AUUGAACGCUGGCGGCAGGCCUAACACAUGCAAGUCGAACGGUAACAGGAAGAAGCUUGCUUCUUUGCUGACGAGUGGCGGACGGAUGAGUAAUGUCUGGGAAACUGCCUGAUGGAGGGGGAUAACUACUGGAAACGGUAGCUAAUACCGCAUAACGUCGCAAGACCAAAGAGGGGGACCUUCGGGCCUCUUGCCAUCGGAUGUGCCCAGAUGGGAUUAGCUAGUAGGUGGGGUAACGGCUCACCUAGGCGACGAUCCCUAGCUGGUCUGAGAGGAUGACCAGCCACACUGGAACUGAGACACGGUCCAGACUCCUACGGGAGGCAGCAGUGGGGAAUAUUGCACAAUGGGCGCAAGCCUGAUGCAGCCAUGCCGCGUGUAUGAAGAAGGCCUUCGGGUUGUAAAGUACUUUCAGCGGGGAGGAAGGGAGUAAAGUUAAUACCUUUGCUCAUUGACGUUACCCGCAGAAGAAGCACCGGCUAACUCCGUG
Molecule: ribosomal RNA, 490 nt
Filed under: uncultured bacterium
Lineage: Bacteria
Description: partial 16S ribosomal RNA
Rfam family: Bacterial small subunit ribosomal RNA
Source: RNAcentral